AUCUUUGCUUGGUGGCAGUAUCAUAGCCAAUAAAGCUUAUUCAAAGUGCAGUUAUUGCUAACUGAAAAUGUUUCCCCAUUCUCAUGAUGUCCUGAAGAAGAGGUGGCAUUGGCAAUUUUUGAUAGUCUUUGCAGAGA
Molecule: small nuclear RNA, 137 nt
Organism: Otolemur garnettii (small-eared galago)
Lineage: Eukaryota; Metazoa; Chordata; Mammalia; Primates; Galagidae
Gene: U4
Rfam family: U4 spliceosomal RNA
About the family: U4 small nuclear RNA (U4 snRNA) is a component of the major U2-dependent spliceosome. The structure of U4 snRNA from yeast and human has been reported. U4 snRNA presents a k-turn RNA motif in the 5p-SL related to recognition of Snu13 protein.
Source: Ensembl